UAUAGUUUGUAUUGUUAAAUA
RNAcentral lists this non-coding RNA (21 nucleotides) under Caenorhabditis elegans. The record is from RNAcentral. Lineage: Eukaryota; Metazoa; Nematoda; Chromadorea; Rhabditida; Rhabditidae.